Molecule: long non-coding RNA, 1059 nt
Filed under: Dromaius novaehollandiae (emu)
Lineage: Eukaryota; Metazoa; Chordata; Aves; Casuariiformes; Dromaiidae
Description: lncRNA (ENSDNVG00000010413.1)
Source: RNAcentral
CAGGAAACCAGACCAGGCUGCCUGAUACUCUUGUUCGGUGGGGCAUGGCAUUUAUCUUUUGCCUCUGUUACUGCUUCUUGAAAGUAGCUUCUACGUGAACUUUCUUUGAACAUGUGCAGCUGAAAUGAUUGUUUUUUACAUUCAGUCCAAUAAACACAGCUCAUCCACACUGACUGUAGAGAAUCAAGAUACACAGUGAGAAAGCUCAUCCCUAGGCAAAUGAAGUUMUCUCUGAUACACGUGUCUUAGAGAACUCUAUCUGUAAGUGCAGUUUCUUCCUCAAAAAGCCCUAGAUAUAUUUGCAAACUUUUAAGAAAUGCAAGCUAUUUAGUCAAUGGAGUUAUUAUAGCAAUUUUAAUGUACUAAUAGAAGAGGGACAAGGAGAAUACACACUGCAAUAUGCUUGCUACAAAACCUUUAUAAUGUUUUUAACCUGCAGGUUCCCUCACUUCUUUCCUUUUACCCUUUCUUUUAAAAAGGUAGAGAGACUUUAAGACAGACAUUUUAAAAGCUCAAAACAUGUAUUUAACAUAGAGCCUAUGAAAUGUUUCAGGUUAGAAAUAUCCAGCAAUGCCUAAAUAGCUUGUACUUAGAUUGUUACAGCCUGCCUGCAUAUUUUUUUUUCUCCAGGUAUGCUGGGAAAAGCACAACUCAGAGCACAUUUUUCCUCCUAGGGACAGAGCUCCUAUCAAGUUCUAUGAAGGGAUAAAGGACUUUCCGAAGGCUCCAAAGAAAGCCAGAGGCAGUGCAUGACGGUGAGUAUGGAGCCCCUGCAGUAUUUCUAUCCCAGCCAGAAGUCCAUCUCAGACUCACAGCUGGAAACAAAAGGCAAUGAACUAUUUCACUUUUCCAUACAAAAGAUCUCCCAGAUGAUUUAGACAGUUAGACCUGUCCUUGUAAAUUUAGCUUGUGAAAAAUCUAACUCUUCUUACCUUGCAAUUCUUAUUCUGAAUUGUUCUGCUACUCAGCAUGUGAGAAAACGUAUCAAAGAGGACACUGAGUGCUUUUAUUACAGCCAACAAAAAUAAAGAAAGAAUUCCAGUACCUCUCUGCUCUUUA